Molecule: ribosomal RNA, 322 nt
Filed under: uncultured bacterium
Lineage: Bacteria
Description: bacterial SSU rRNA
Rfam family: Bacterial small subunit ribosomal RNA
Source: RNAcentral
GCUUCGGCCCUAGUGGCGCACGGGUGAGUAACGCGUGGGAACCUGCCCUGUGGUACGGAACAACUCCGGGAAACUGGAGCUAAUACCGUAUGCGUCCUCUGGGACAAAGAUUUAUCGCCAUGGGAUGGGCCCGCGUAGGAUUAGCUAGUUGGCGGGGUAACGGCCCACCAAGGCUACGAUCCUUAGCUGGUCUGAGAGGAUGAUCAGCCACACUGGGACUGAGACACGGCCCAGACUCCUACGGGAGGCAGCAGUGGGGAAUAUUGGACAAUGGGCGCAAGCCUGAUCCAGCAAUGCCGCGUGAGUGAUGAAGGCCUUCGGG